RNAcentral lists this ribosomal RNA (389 nucleotides) under Lancefieldella parvula. RNAcentral's name for it is "bacterial SSU rRNA". It matches the Rfam family "Bacterial small subunit ribosomal RNA", at positions 28 to 416 of the family's 1533-position model. The record is from RNAcentral. Lineage: Bacteria; Bacillati; Actinomycetota; Coriobacteriia; Coriobacteriales; Atopobiaceae.
GAUGAACGCUGGCGGCGCGCCUAACACAUGCAAGUCGAACGAUUAAAGCACCUUCGGGUGUGUAUAAAGUGGCGAACGGCUGAGUAACACGUGGGCAACCUGCCCCUUUCAUUGGGAUAGCCACGGGAAACCGUGGAUAAUACCGAAUACUUCGAGACUUCCGCAUGGAAGACUCGAGAAAGCUCCGGCGGAGAGGGAUGGGCCCGCGGCCUGUUAGCUUGUUGGUGGGGUAACGGCCUACCAAGGCAAUGAUGGGUAGCUGGGUUGAGAGACCGACCAGCCAGAUUGGGACUGAGACACGGCCCAGACUCCUACGGGAGGCAGCAGUGGGGAAUCUUGCACAAUGGGCGAAAGCCUGAUGCAGCGACGCCGCGUGCGGGAUGAAGGCC